Long non-coding RNA from Oncorhynchus tshawytscha (Chinook salmon), 921 nucleotides. The record is from Ensembl. Lineage: Eukaryota; Metazoa; Chordata; Actinopteri; Salmoniformes; Salmonidae.
CUGUGUGUGGGGUACUACUCGUUGAGCUGACAGAGCAGGGCUGAGGCCUUGGUGAUCCAGUAGUCACUAGGCAGGCUGGACGGCAGCAUCACCGUCACCACAAAGUUAGUAGAGUGGCCUGAGGGAGAGAACACACAGGUCUGUCACUAUCUGGACAUGAUGCAGAGGACCAGAGAACACACAGGUCUGUCACUAUCUGGACAUGAUGCAGAGGACCAGAGAACACACAGGUCUGUCACUAUCUGGACAUGAUGCAGAGGACCAGAGAACACACAGGUCUGGCACCUACUACCAUACCCCGUUCAAAAGCACCUAAAUCUUUAGUCUUGCCCAUUGAGACAAUUGAGACAUGGAUUGUGUAUGUGUGAUAUUCAGAGGGUGAAUGGAAGACAACAGAUUGAAGUGCCUGAAUGGGGUAUGGUAGUAGGUGUCAGGCUCACUGGUUUGCGUCAAGAACUGCAACGCUGCUGGGUUUUUCACACUCAACAGUUUCCCUUGUGUAUCAAGAAUGGUCCACCACCCAACGGACAUCCAGCCAACUUGACACAACUGUGGGAAGCAUUGGAGUCAACUUAGGCCAGCUUCCCUGUGGAACGCUUUCAACACCUUGUAGAGUCCAUGUCCCUGACGAAUUGAGGCUGUUCUGAGGGCAAAAGGGGGUGAAACUGAAUUUUAGGUAGGUGUCCUUACCUGUAGUAGACAAAGUCCCAGCCCGAGCUGAGGUCUUGUACAGCGGAGCCUGGUAGAGAGACGGAUCAGGGUCAUAGUUCUGCUGGGGUUCGAAGUGCACCACGGGAAGCAUGGCGUUCAUCACCCGUGGCAACGCAUCCUCGAUCACCAUGUCGACGUCGUCCCAGCGACUGGCGUCCAUGAACAUCCCGUGCACCAGCACGCCGUCGUUGAUGGUGGGUAGCUAUGGAG